Molecule: ribosomal RNA, 490 nt
Filed under: uncultured bacterium
Lineage: Bacteria
Description: partial 16S ribosomal RNA
Rfam family: Bacterial small subunit ribosomal RNA
Source: RNAcentral
AGUGAACGCUGGCGGCAGGCCUAAUACAUGCAAGUCGAACGGCAGCACAGUGGAGCUUGCUCCAUGGGUGGCGAGUGGCGGACGGGUGAGGAAUACAUGGGAAUCUGCCCAGUCGUGGGGGAUAACGUAGGGAAACUUACGCUAAUACCGCAUACGCCCUUCGGGGGAAAGCCGGGGACCUUCGGGCCUGGCGCGAUUGGAUGAGCCCAUGUUCGAUUAGCUAGUUGGCGGGGUAAAGGCCCACCAAGGCGACGAUCGAUAGCUGGUCUGAGAGGAUGAUCAGCCACACUGGGACUGAGACACGGCCCAGACUCCUACGGGAGGUAGCAGUAGGGAAUAUUGGACAAUGGGCGCAAGCCUGAUCCAGCCAUGCCGCGUGAGUGAAGAAGGCCCUCGGGUUGUAAAGCUCUUUUGUCCGGGAAGAAAAGCAUCGGGCUAAUACCUCGGUGUUCUGACGGUACCGGAAGAAUAAGCACCGGCUAACUUCGUG